AUGUCCUCCUCCGAUGACCUCGUCCGCCGGAUCGCCGCCUUCUUCCCGCUCCCGCCGCCCCCGCAGAAGCAGCAGCUCUCCGGCGUCGCCGCCGCGGUCCUCAGCGCGGGCGGCCGCCUCGGCCGCGCCGUGGGCGACGUCUUCCGCCGCCUGCGCAUCGACGACGGCCUCGACAUCGCGUACGCGCGGCGGCACCGGAGGGUCGUCCCCGGCAGAGGCGGCACGAUGGCCGACGGUGAUGGCGCGCGGAGCAAGCAGGACCAGAUCGCUGGCUCUGGUGCCGAUAGUCCGGCGGUAGGCGGCUCCGGGCGGUUCGCGCGGUCGCAGGGGAGCAUGGUGCUGUCGGCGGCGUUCGACAGCAGGACGAACGACGUGGAGAGCUCCGUGGCGGCCCGCGGCGACCUGUGGCGCGCCGAGGCAUCGCACUCCAGCAGCAACAGCAGAGGCGGCGGCGAUGGUGCCGCGGCGCCGCUGUUCCUGGUGCAGCUCGGCCCCGUGCUCUUCCUCCGCGACACGACGCUGCUCUUCCCCGUGCACCUCUCCAAGCGCCACCUCAUCUGGUACGGCUUCGAGCGCAAGAACGGAGUGCACUCGGUGUGCCCGGCGUACUGGACAGCUCGCCGGAGAUGCUUCUUCAUGUCGAUGAUCUGCCUCAACCCAUUUGCCUGCUCGUUCAUGGACAUGCAAUUCCCCAACGGGCAGCUGAGAUACGUGGCCGGCGACGGGUUCACUGCCCGCGGAUUCCUCCCCAUCGGCGGCGGCGGCAUCGUCCAGGCCCACGGAAAGUUCCCCGGGGAGAAGAGGCUCAGCUUCUCCUACAAGAACGGCAGCGGGGGCAGCAUCACCCCGACCGUCCAGUGGCCGGACAGGUCCCUCUCGCUGGGGCUAACCCAGGUGCUCUCCUGGAGGAGGAGCGGCCUCAUGCUGCAGCCAGCGCUGCAGCUCAGCGUGUGCCCCACGUUCGGAGGGUGCCGGCCCGGGGUGUCGACGGAGCUGGUCCAUUCGGUUAGCGAGGAGGCCAGCGUCGCCUGCGGCUACUCCCGCACCGCCUCCCCCUCCGCCUACGCUUCCGUGUCGCUCGGGAGAUCGAAGCUGAACGGCAGCGCGUCGAGCUCAGGGCUGGUGUUCAGAGUGGACGCGCCGCUGCACGGUUUUGGGCGGCCAUGGUUCUCCAUCCAGAUGAACAGUGGGCUCGAGUUCUGA
RNAcentral lists this ribosomal RNA (1203 nucleotides) under Triticum aestivum (bread wheat). RNAcentral's name for it is "partial small subunit ribosomal RNA". Lineage: Eukaryota; Viridiplantae; Streptophyta; Magnoliopsida; Poales; Poaceae. The record is from RNAcentral.